ACUUUUUCCGGCCUUUUAGAAUAAGUGACCUGAGGAAAGUUGAUCUAGUAAAAGCAUGUGAAUACUUCAACAGCUGUUUUAAGGACCCAUCGACUUUUACAGUUGUGAUAGCUGGGAAUAUUGAUCCCUCGAUUGCAGUUCCUCUAAUUUUGCAAUAUUUGGGUGGAAUACCAAAGUCUUCGGAAGACAUAUUUCUUUACAACCGUGAUGAUCUCAAAGGAUUACCAUUUAAAUUUCCCAAAGCCGUAAUUAGGUGGUACGCAGAGCCAUGGUAGAAGCACAAUGUUCAGUCCAGCUAUGCUUUCCUGUGGUGUUGAAUAAUGGGACAACGGCAUGUGAGGAAGAAGAGAUUCAAUGUGUCGGUUUCCCGGGCAAACUUAUUGAAACAUAACUACUGCAAGUUCUUCAUUUUAAGUAUGGGCAGAUUUACUCUGCAUGUGUUUCUGUGUUCUUGGUGGCAAUAAACCUUCUAGAAUUGGUGAUGUUUGUGGAGAUAUAAGUAUAAACUUUUCUUGUGAUCCAGAAAUGUCCUCAAAGUUGGUUGAUCUUGCUUUGGAUGAAGUAGUACGUCUUCAAGAAGAAGGGCCUACAGAUCAGGAUGUUGCAACCGUGCUUGAAAUUGAGCAGAGUGCCCAUGAAGAUGGACUGCAGGAAAAUUAUUUCUGGCUGGAGACAAUUAUGAGAAGCUACCAAUCAAGGGUCUACUAUGGUGAUGUUGACACUUCCUUCAAGGUG
Hibiscus syriacus is the source of this 735-nucleotide long non-coding RNA. RefSeq lists it as uncharacterized. NCBI's taxonomy places the organism in Eukaryota, Viridiplantae, Streptophyta, Magnoliopsida, Malvales, Malvaceae. The transcript has 8 exons. The record is from RefSeq and is a predicted model, not a curated record.